AGAAUCAACGCUGGCGGCGCGCUUAACACGUGCAAGUCGCACGAGAAAGUGGAGCAAUCCAUAAGUAAAGUGGCGUACGGGUGAGUAACACGUGGAUCAUCUACCUUUUAGUGGGGAAUACCCCUGGGAAACCGGGGAUAAUACCGCAUAAGCUCGUAAGAGGAAAGCAGCAAUGCGCUGAAAGAGGAGUCCGCGGCUGAUUAGCUAGUUGGUGAGGUAAUGGCUCACCAAGGCGAAGAUCGGUAGCCGGCCUGAGAGGGCACACGGCCACACUGGCACUGAAACACGGGCCAGACUCCUACGGGAGGCAGCAGUGGGGAAUCUUGCACAAUGGAGGAAACUCUGAUGCAGCGACGCCGCGUGAGCGAUGAAGCCCUUCGGGUGUAAAGCUCUUUCGACGGGAACGAUAAUGACGGUACCGAAGAAGAAGCUGCGGCUAACUACGUGCCAGCAGCCGCGGUAA
This 463-nucleotide ribosomal RNA is filed under the name uncultured bacterium. Its description in RNAcentral is "SSU rRNA". It matches the Rfam family "Bacterial small subunit ribosomal RNA", at positions 26 to 523 of the family's 1533-position model. The record is from RNAcentral.